Molecule: ribosomal RNA, 493 nt
Filed under: Hippocampus barbouri (Barbour's seahorse)
Lineage: Eukaryota; Metazoa; Chordata; Actinopteri; Syngnathiformes; Syngnathidae
Description: partial 16S ribosomal RNA
Rfam family: Bacterial large subunit ribosomal RNA
Source: RNAcentral
UGUGACCGCAAGUUUAACGGCCGCGGUAUUUUGACCGUGCAAAGGUAGCGCAAUCACUUGUCUUUUAAAUAAAGACCUGUAUGAAUGGCAUAACGAGGGCUAAACUGUCUCCUCACCCUAGUUAAUGAAAUUGAUCCUCCCGUGCAGAAGCGGGAAUUAACUCAUAAGACGAGAAGACCCUGUGGAGCUUUAGAUGAACAGAUGAAUUUGUUAGCAAUUAAACCUUGUGAAAGAUAAUAAACCUACAACCUCAUCUUAAUAUCUUCAGUUGGGGCGACCGCGGAGUAAAACAAAACCUCCGUGAGGAUUGAGGUGAAAACCUUAUACCCAAGAAAGUCAUUUCUAAGUACCAAAAAAUUUGACCUAUAGAUCCGGCAAUGCCGAUCAACGAACCUAGUUACCCCAGGGAUAACAGCGCAAUCCUCUUUAAGAGUCCCUAUCGACAAGGGGGUUUACGACCUCGAUGUUGGAUCAGGAUAUCCUAAUGGUGUAG